RNAcentral lists this ribosomal RNA (489 nucleotides) under uncultured bacterium. RNAcentral's name for it is "partial 16S ribosomal RNA". It matches the Rfam family "Bacterial small subunit ribosomal RNA", at positions 28 to 507 of the family's 1533-position model. The record is from RNAcentral.
GACGAACGCUGGCGGCGUGCUUAACACAUGCAAGUCGAACGGUGAAGGGACCAGCUUGCUGGUUCUGGAUGAGUGGCGAACGGGUGAGUAACACGUGAGUAACCUGCCCCCUUCUUCUGGAUAACCGCAUGAAAGUGUGGCUAAUACGGGAUAUUCUGGGUCUGUCGCAUGGCGGGCCCGGGAAAGAUAUUGCUUCGGUGGGGGAUGGGCUCGCGGCCUAUCAGCUUGUUGGUGGGGUGAUGGCCUACCAAGGCGGUGACGGGUAGCCGGCCUGAGAGGGUGGACGGUCACACUGGGACUGAGACACGGCCCAGACUCCUACGGGAGGAAGCAGUGGGGAAUAGUGCACAAUGGGCGCAAGCCUGAUGCAGCGACGCCGCGUGAGGGAUGGAGGCCUUCGGGUUGUAAACCUCUUUCGCCAGUGAAGCAGGCCUGCUCCUUGUGGGUGGGUUGACGGUAGCUGGAUAAGAAGCGCCGGCUAACUACGUG